GGAAGGAUCAUUAUAUUAGUACCGAACCGACCUGGGUUUAAACCAGUGCCGGGUUUAUGUUGGCUUAUCGUAUCCGAGGUGAAAGGCGGCUUCGGUCCCUAUAGCCUCUGUAAUAAACGUCCUAUGCCCCUAGUGGGUUAAUUAAAAUACAAGGCAUAACGGUGGAUGAAUUGGUUCGGAUAGCGAUGAAGAUCGUAGCAAAAUGCGAUAAGGAGUACGAAUUGCAGGAACUGCGAGUACUUUAUCAUUGAAUGCACGCUGCGCCUAAACCGAGCAAUCGGAAGGUGUGUUCUGCUGAGCUGUAUUUAAUCACGAAUCCCUUAAUGGGGUAUUGGGCCUAAACUGCUUCAGUUAUAGGCCUUAAAUGACGACAACGGGUACGACCUAGUUGAUGCGCUCUUUCGGUUCAUGCCAUCUGGUGCUGAUACUUAAUGUGACCUCGAUAAAGCAAACCCUUCAUACACAUACACUCAGCUGGAGCACGAUUACCCCUGGAAUUUAAGCAUAUUAUUACGGGGAGGAAAAGAAACUAACAAGGAUUCGCCUAGUAACUGCGAGUGAAGAGCGAAGAGCCCAUCCUGAAUCUCUGAUCCCUAAAGGUUAGAGAGUUGUAGGGUAAGGUCGAUCCUUUCGGGAUAAGCGCUGUUUGAAGUCCGUUGGAAUGCGGUGCCACAGAGGGUGAGAGCCCCGUAAGAUAGCGUGGAUCCUUUUAUAAGGGUUAGAUCAUGAGUCGCACUGUUUGAGAGUACAGUGCUAAGCGGUGAUAUGCAUCAUCGAAGGCUAAAUAUUGAUCCGAGACCGAUAGCAAACAAGUAGCGUGAGCGAAAUUUGAAAAGAACUUUGGAAAGAGAGUUAAAAGUACCUGAAACCGUUAUGUCGAAA
RNAcentral lists this unclassified non-coding RNA (882 nucleotides) under uncultured soil eukaryote. Its description in RNAcentral is "sequence contains 18S rRNA gene, ITS1, 5.8S rRNA gene, ITS2, 28S rRNA gene". The stretch from base 466 to 882 matches the Rfam family "Eukaryotic large subunit ribosomal RNA", at positions 1 to 418 of the family's 3401-position model. The record is from RNAcentral.